CGAACGAGGGGAAGUGAAACAUCUCAGUACCCUCAGGAGAAGAAAUCAAUUGAGAUUCCGCAAGUAGCGGCGAGCGAACGCGGAUUAGCCCAAACCUGCAGGCUUGCUUGCAGGGGUUGUGGGGCCCCGACAUGGGAUUGAGGAGAGAUAGCGGAACGGUAUGGAAAGGCCGACCAGAGACGGUGAUAGUCCGGUAGGCGAAAUCUCGAAUCACCCUAGGGUGUCCCCGAGUACCACGAGGCACGUGAAACCUUGUGGGAAUCUGGGAGGACCAUCUUCCAAGGCUAAAUACUCCCUAGUGACCGAUAGUGAACCAGUACCGUGAGGGAAAGGUGAAAAGAACCCCGGGAGGGGAGUGAAAUAGAAACUGAAACCGUCAGCUUACAAGCAGUUGGAGCAUCCAUGUGAUGUGACAGCGUGCCUUUUGCAUAAUGAGUCAACGACUUACCCUACGCAGCAAGGUUAAGCCGAUAGGUGUAGCCGUAGCGAAAGCGAGUCUUAACAGGGCGUCGAGUUGCGUGGGGUAGACCCGAAGCCGGGUGC
RNAcentral lists this ribosomal RNA (543 nucleotides) under uncultured bacterium. RNAcentral's name for it is "bacterial LSU rRNA". It matches the Rfam family "Bacterial large subunit ribosomal RNA", at positions 180 to 728 of the family's 2925-position model. The record is from RNAcentral.